This 144-nucleotide ribosomal RNA is filed under the name uncultured eukaryote. RNAcentral describes it as "partial small subunit ribosomal RNA". It matches the Rfam family "Eukaryotic small subunit ribosomal RNA", at positions 1676 to 1817 of the family's 1831-position model. The record is from RNAcentral.
UCGCUACUACCGAUUGAAUGAUUUAGUGAGGCUCUCGGACUGGGCUCUGAUGACACUUCGGUGUUUUCUUAGCUCGGAAAGUUUUCCAAACUGUAGCACUUAGAGGAAGUAAAAGUCGUAACAAGGUUUCCGUAGGUGAACCUG